Long non-coding RNA from Leopardus geoffroyi (Geoffroy's cat), 127 nucleotides. RefSeq lists it as uncharacterized. Lineage: Eukaryota; Metazoa; Chordata; Mammalia; Carnivora; Felidae. The record is from RefSeq and is a predicted model, not a curated record. The transcript has 3 exons.
CUUCCGAUUCUGUUGAGGGACCUUACCCAGGGAGGUUACAAGUGCCAAGUUCUCCAGCAUCACAUCCUGGUACAGGCGUCUCUGAGCCUCCUCAAGGAGACCCCAUUCCUCCCUGGAGAAGUACACG